This 274-nucleotide ribosomal RNA is filed under the name uncultured bacterium. RNAcentral's name for it is "partial 16S ribosomal RNA". It matches the Rfam family "Bacterial small subunit ribosomal RNA", at positions 82 to 354 of the family's 1533-position model. The record is from RNAcentral.
CCGUUGCCGGCGACCGGCGCACGGUGAGUAACACGUAUGCAACCUGCCGUGGCAGGGGAGUAAGCGGGGGAAACCCGUCUAAUACCGCGUAACGCGGCCUUGGGCAUCCCAAGGCCGCCAAAGGGAGCAAUCCCGGCCACGGAUGGGCAUGCGGCGCAUUAGCUAGUCGGCGGGGUAACGGCCCACCGAGGCGACGAUGCGUAGGGGUUCGUGAGAGGAAGGCCCCCCACCACUGGUACUGAGACACGGACCAGACUCCUACGGAAGGCAGCAG